RNAcentral lists this non-coding RNA (118 nucleotides) under uncultured Clostridium sp. Its description in RNAcentral is "SAM riboswitch (S box leader)". It matches the Rfam family "SAM riboswitch aptamer (S box leader)". From Rfam's summary of the family: The SAM riboswitch is found upstream of a number of genes which code for proteins involved in methionine or cysteine biosynthesis in Gram-positive bacteria. The SAM riboswitch acts at the level of transcription termination control. The predicted structure consists of a complex stem-loop region followed by a single stem loop terminator region. Lineage: Bacteria; Bacillati; Bacillota; Clostridia; Eubacteriales; Clostridiaceae. The record is from RNAcentral.
UUUUAUCAAGAAAGACUGAGGGACUGGCCCAAUGACGUCUGGCAACCUGAAUAAUUUUCAUUUACAUUGUUUAAGGUGCUAAUUCCUGCAGAUAUUUUGUGAUAUCUGAAAGAUAAGA